UACGUAGGGUGCAAGCGUUAUCCGGAAUUAUUGGGCGUAAAGAGCUCGUAGGCGGUUUGUCGCGUCUGCUGUGAAAACUGGGGGCUCAACCCCCCAGCCUGCAGUGGGUACGGGGCAGACUAGAGUGCGGUAGGGGAGAUUGGAAUUCCUGGUGUAGCGGUGGAAUGCGCAGAUAUCAGGAGGAACACCGAUGGCGAAGGCAGAUCUCUGGGCCGUAACUGACGCUGAGGAGCGAAAGCAUGGGGAGCGAACAGG
RNAcentral lists this ribosomal RNA (255 nucleotides) under uncultured bacterium. RNAcentral's name for it is "partial 16S ribosomal RNA". It matches the Rfam family "Bacterial small subunit ribosomal RNA", at positions 524 to 776 of the family's 1533-position model. The record is from RNAcentral.